RNAcentral lists this ribosomal RNA (253 nucleotides) under uncultured bacterium. RNAcentral's name for it is "partial 16S ribosomal RNA". It matches the Rfam family "Bacterial small subunit ribosomal RNA", at positions 524 to 776 of the family's 1533-position model. The record is from RNAcentral.
UACGUAGGGGGCAAGCGUUGUCCGGAAUCAUUGGGCGUAAAGAGCGUGUAGGCGGUUCGGUAAGUCGGCUGUGAAAGUCCAGGGCUCAACCCUGGGAUGCCGGUCGAUACUGCCGGACUAGAGUUCGGAAGAGGCGAGUGGAAUUCCCGGUGUAGCGGUGAAAUGCGCAGAUAUCGGGAGGAACACCUAUGGCGAAGGCAGCUCGCUGGGACGUUGCUGACGCUGAGACGCGAAAGCGUGGGGAGCAAACAGG